GGUGAUUGCUGCUGAGAGAGGAGUUGGAUGCUAUUCUGCUAUGGAUUUGGUUUUGUUGGAGUUUUGCCAUAGUGAAAUGUACUGAUGCACAUGGUGUGCUCCUCCUGCUCCACUCUGAGCUCUCUGUGUAUUUGCGAAGAGUUCAGAGCCUUCAACCUCUUCAAGGAAAAAAGCAGCAGCCAUGGAGGAGAUGGGAGCCUUGCUGCUGCUCCAGUCCUCAUGUAAUGCCCACAGCACGACCUCGGGGAUCCCAGGGCAGGCUGUGCUCUGAUAUCUUCCAUCUUCUGCUGCCGUACCAGAAAUGUGAGCGUCUCACUGUACAGCUAAUGGAGGAAGACUCUCACCUGCUCCAUCCCGUAUGACUGAGCUGAAUUUGGAGCUGAAGAGGACGUCUGUGUGGUUCAAGAUGAACUCCACAACGACUGACUGGAUCCGCACCUCCAUGAAGGCAGCUGUUCCACUGAAGCAGGCAGACUCAAUCUGCUUUGAUCUGAAGAAAAGGUACAUUAAGCACCACUGCAACCAGCCAGAAGAGUGGGAAGGUGUGCACCCCUUGGCAGCCAACCGUGACCGCUGGAAUCCGGCUCUGUGUGUGCCCAGGUACAACCACUGCACAUACAGAAGCCACAUCCUGCUACCAGGAACGUUCUUCCUAUCAAACCCACUGAUAACCAUCACUACAAAUCCCAGCACAAACAGCAAAUGGAUGCAACAGAAGCAACGCUAUCCAAAAUGCACAGGCAGAAGGCACACACAGCAAUUCAGAACAGAAGAUCAGCCCGCACAGGGCUGCCGAGCAGUCAUACAGAUGCACCAAACUGCCAGGAUGAUGUCUGCUUCUUUUGUUUUUUACUGUAGGACCCAAUACAUCUGAGUGCAUUGUGACAAGCUGUCCCACUUCGCACAGUUUGAAUCUAAGAAAAAACUUCCAAAUAUUUCAUUCAUAGAGGUAAAAAAAAGAAGAAAGCAGUUAGGAACCACACAAAACAUAUGCAAGUGGGGAAGAGAGGGCUUUUACUCACCUUCCCUUUAGCAAAAGCAAGUUCCCAUGAGAACAGGUCAAAGAAUUUGAUGCAAGCUUUUCUGCUGCUGUUACAGGAUUCAGUGCUGAAGAAGAAUGAGCACGACACCAACACGAGUUCUUAAAUGAAAUCCUGCAGAUGAAACUUCAGAUCAGCCGAGUCUUCGGAACUAAUUGCAGAUACAGGCUGAUUCAUGAGCAAACCCCAAAGGCCGGAGUGCUGCUGUGAUCUCUGCUGUGCAGCAGCUUAACGCUGCUGCUGGGGGGGGGGAGGGAGGGAGAGCAGAGAGGCAAGGAGGGAUGGCAGGGCACGGGCACACAGCAGAAGCUGGUAAGCAGAGGUUUGAUGUGAGCAUCAUUGUGGCCCUGUGUGACUCCACGUGCCACUGCCAGGAGAGGUCAGAGCCAAGGGCCACCAGCUAGGGCUAAAGCCGCCUGGAGAGCUUUCUGUUGUGGCUCAACAACUUGGCUCCUGCACUCAUCCAAUUAGUCAGGAAUGAUUCACAAUUAUGCAUGGAAAAGGAGAGCAGAACCGACCACCUUUCUGCCAGGAAUUCAGAGCUCUUACCACAAACAGAGCUUUGCUCAAGCCAACCAUUCUUAGAGCCGAGUCCCGCUCUGACAGAGCUUGUGAGAAAGGAAAAAAGUCUCAUUUAAAAACAACAAGAGCUCCCAGCUGGAACACAUGGAGAGCAGUGACGAGGAGCACAGAGCACUGGGCAUGGCUGCCCCAGCACCACCCCCUGCAAGUACCAUCAGCUCCAUAACAGAAGCACUCAUACAGUGCUUUCAUAUUACCGACAAUACACAGAGCACAGGGCUGGCACAGCACUGCUGAGGCCAACAGCCGUGGGCUUUCUUUGGCAGAUAAGCUGUGCCAACUCUGGCUGCUAUCUUUUUCUUCUUUACAGCAUGACCGGCUGUGCCAGGAAAAACACGAGUGUGGAUGUGGCCCAGGUUGGACACAGAGGCCUCAUUCACUGAUGCCCCACACCUGUGCUGUCACUGCGCCACACAGCCACAAGGUGCAGAGCAAUCAGCCUUCUGCUCACCAUGCAUGUGACUGCACAGGCAAUGCUCACGUGAGAUAACCGAUGCCUGUUAAAGUGCUUGCUUUGCACACACGGCAUUUGUUCCUGCAAUUAUAAAGGCUCACUGGCGUGGGGGUUGGGAGGGAAGGAGAGGACAGGCAGGUCUUGGAGCUGACCUAGAAACUCAGCUAAAAAAGCAACAAAAUGCUAUGAAUGAAACAGACAAACCAAACUGCAUCCAUCUGCCCCCCUCAGAUCCCCAGAACACUCGGAUGCCCUUUUGGUGUAGCACAGACUUCUCCUGCAGCUCCUUCCCCACACCACAGAGCCUUUUGUAACACCCAAACCUCUGUUCUCCUGGAGGGAAACUGUCACAUCCAGCCCUUCAGAAGAGCAUUUCGACCAGUUUACUCACAAACGCCAGAUAACCAUCAUUACAAACCCAACCAAAUGCUACAAAUAUCUGUAUUUCCAGAGGGCCAACAUCACAUCAACGGCAAACGUUACCAAAGACCCCACAGAGUCUGUGGGUAAGAAGCACAUCCAUGGGUGCCUACGAACGCUACCCGAAUGUGGGAGUUCUGCUUCCUACCACUGCCACAAACAGCUGCACCAGUCAAGGAUUAAAGGAUUAAGGAGGAAAAAGCAUUGACUUCCUAAUGCUGUGUGUCCCCAGGAAUUUAUCUGGAACACUUAACAUUCUUGCUCAUCCCUCCCUUAUGAGCUGGCUGGGAUUUACAGAUUGCAUUUACGUGGUCAGUGUUUCAGGUUUGCCACCGGAGGCUGAAUUCAAAACCAAGUAACAGAUAAAAGGAUGUUCUCAUGGCCAGAGCUCCAGUGGUGUCUGCAGGAAAAAAAUAUCUGCUAUUUGUCCACUUUCAGGACUUUGUUUCAGCUGAUUCCCCCACGUGGGGCAGAAGAGAUGCUGCAGGAGCAGGCAGGCAGCACGCUGCCGCCCUCCAAAUCCAACCUACCUGCAAAAUACUGCUAAAUCAAUCUGCUUUUUUAAAGUAAGCAUCCAACAAAGCACUCAUUGCAGAAGUGAAAUAAAGCCUUAAAGCCUGGUUAAAAGCAGUUCUUCCUUUGGUGACUCUAAAAGACAGCAAUGGAAGAAGAGACGUGGAUUUCAGCACUGGGACAUCAGGGGCAGCUUUGCACAUAGGAACCACAAGAAGACUGACAGCUGAAGUACAGAAAGUUGUUUCCUGCUCUCUCUGUGGAUGCAUUAGGAGCAUUUACAUCACCAUCAAACUACAGUAUUUAACCACAUUGCUUUUCUCUCUUAUUCAAGUAAGUUCUUUCCUCCAGACCAUGGCCCAAAAAGGUUCGGCACACUUUGGAAACACCAUUCUGAGGCACACACUGAAAGCCUGGGAAAAGAAGAACACUUUGCAUUUAGAAAUUCAGCAGCCAGGGAAAAGUAAAAAAGAAGCUGAUUUACCAUAGAGACCAACAGCCACUUUGCCACCAAUAGUACAGAGCAUUCCCAGCACAAGACCCAGCUGGGCAGCGCUCAGGACUGGGACUCACUCACUUGGAUGAGAUCACUUGCAGAAAAUCUGCCUUUUCCAGCUGUCAGAUAUUACAAUAAAAGCAUGUCUUUAUAAUCUAUUUCAACUACAUCUAGCUUCUGUAAGCAAACCUAGUAAAUGAUUGCUGCUAUCUCAUACAGGGCUAGACGUGGUUAGCACACAAUGGACUCUACCUGAGCUCAGCUGUGAAUGGGUGACAGCCUCUGUAACACAUGCAGCACCCGGCUUUACAUUAUCCACCUCCAGAUCUGCUCCUAAUUAAGGCCAGGUAGGAAGAGGGCAGAAGAACAGACAAAAGGCACGAGAAAGGACAAAGUACAAUUAAA
This 3910-nucleotide long non-coding RNA is filed under the name Gallus gallus (chicken). Lineage: Eukaryota; Metazoa; Chordata; Aves; Galliformes; Phasianidae. The record is from RNAcentral.